AUACGUAGGUGGCAAGCGUUGUCCGGAUUUAUUGGGCGUAAAGCGAGUGCAGGCGGUCUUUUAAGGUCUGAUGUGAAAGCCUUCGGCUUAACCGAAGAAGGGCAUCGGAAACUGGGAGACUUGAGUGCAGAAAAGGAGAGUGGAACUCCACGUGUAGCGGUGAAAUGCGUAGAUAUAUGGAAGAACACCAGUGGCGAAGGCGGCUCUCUGGUCUGUAACUGACGCUGAGGCUCGAAAGCGUGGGUAGC
This 248-nucleotide ribosomal RNA is filed under the name uncultured bacterium. Its description in RNAcentral is "partial 16S ribosomal RNA". It matches the Rfam family "Bacterial small subunit ribosomal RNA", at positions 523 to 769 of the family's 1533-position model. The record is from RNAcentral.